UGGCCAUUAUCACCUAAAAAACUACUGUGUACAGACUUAUCUGUGCGGUUUGGGAAGUUUUAAAUGUUUUUAGAUAUAUAAAAGUUAAAUUUAUUUUGCAUAUCUGAAAGAUAAAAUCAUUUUUGGUGAAGGUCUGGAUUCAAAAUAUUUUUUUUGUCCUCUGCUUGAACAGAUUUUUUAUUCAUCAAUUUGGGAAUCAGGAUAUUUUUUUAGGAAAAAUACCAUAACCC
RNAcentral lists this long non-coding RNA (230 nucleotides) under Mytilus galloprovincialis (Mediterranean mussel). Lineage: Eukaryota; Metazoa; Mollusca; Bivalvia; Mytilida; Mytilidae. The record is from RNAcentral.